Long non-coding RNA from Dromaius novaehollandiae (emu), 963 nucleotides. RefSeq lists it as uncharacterized. The record is from RefSeq and is a predicted model, not a curated record. The transcript has 3 exons. NCBI's taxonomy places the organism in Eukaryota, Metazoa, Chordata, Aves, Casuariiformes, Dromaiidae.
ACAUGUUUCCUUAGGAAAAAAGUCUCAGCAGCCUUAAUGAGAUGGGAAAUUGCGGAAUUAAUGAACUAAUCUGGAUAAUGGCUACUGUCCAUUUAAAAAAAGUUACCAUCCAUUUUGUGUCCAAACUGAGGAACACACCGAGCUGUAGAAUUCAACCUGGAAUUUAAAAAAAAAAUCAAUUUACCUGUUUUUGUUUUUUCUGAGGUGUGAGUUACGGGAGCCUCCGGGCCUGACAGCCUCGGCAGCCUCUGAUGCAGCUCUUUUGGCAUUUGAGACGUUUUCUCUUCAAGACAGAGAAAGUCAACAGCAAGGAACAUUUACUAAACUCUAAGCUUCAUUCCUGACAAAGGCUGUUCAUAUGCAAACAAACCUGUCUGAAGAUGACAAGGAAAUGUGGUAACUUUGUUUUCAUAGGGAGGCUGCUCUGCUUUCCAGCACAGCACACGCUGAUUAAAAAUCAGUCUGAAGUAGCAGAAGCCUGGAUCUGAAUCAAAACCACAUGCUACUAAUCCUGAAGAAAUUGCUGUGACUGGAUUGUUGCUGGAGGAACGGUGAAUAACCGUCCGCAAAGGGAAGCUGAAGGACACGGCAGAGCCUCCCGCCGCCCCUCAGGUGUCUGAUGACCCUGGGCAAGGAGCAGAAAGCCGCCUCUGGCAGGUAUGCUUAGCAGCCCUGAGCUCUGGGAGAAAUAUCACUAUCCUUUGAGGACAAAAUGGAGCGACAGUCCCAACGCUGAGAACUUGAGAAGCCAAGUGGACAAGACAGAGAAAAGAAAAACUACCCAAAUUCUGCAAAUGUAGGCUGGAGGCGCAGGGAGACAAAGACACGAGCUGGUGGAAAAUUUUGGUCAAAUCUUUUCUUGGAUGAAGACCGCAGUUUGGAUUUAUUGAAGUAUUUUGGAAAUGCAUGUAAGCCUCAUCUAUUUUAGCUCACAAUGCUGUGUAAAAAUAAAAGUGCUUUGUU